RNA transcript from Phacochoerus africanus (Common warthog), 3963 nucleotides. It is a transcript of the gene named RFT1 homolog, with no coding region annotated. Lineage: Eukaryota; Metazoa; Chordata; Mammalia; Artiodactyla; Suidae. The record is from RefSeq and is a predicted model, not a curated record. The transcript has 14 exons.
CGCUGGCGGCGGCGUUUCCUGGUGACUGAGCCCCAUCGCGGAGGCUAUGAGCAGCCGGGAGGUCCUGGGCCAGGCGGCCCGUCUGGCCUCCUCCGGUCUGCUCCUGCAGGUGUUGUUUCGAGUGAUCACCUUUGUCUUGAAUGCAUUUAUUCUUCGCUUCCUAUCCAAGGAAAUCGUUGGCGUAGUGAAUGUCAGGCUAACACUGCUUUACUCGACCACCAUCUUCCUGGCCAGAGAGGCUUUCCGCAGAGCAUGUCUGAGUGGAGGUACCCAGCGGCACUGGAGCCAGACCCUCAAUCUCUUGUGGUUAACAGUCCCUUUGGGUGUGUUUUGGUCCUUGUUCCUGGGCUGGGUCUGGUUGCAGUUGCUCGAAGUGCCUGAUCCUAAUGUUGUCCCCCAUUAUGGAACUGGAGUGGCGGCGUUUGGUCUCUCAGCAGUGGUGGAACUUCUGGGAGAGCCCCUCUGGGUCUUGGCACAAGCACAUAUGUUUGUCAGGCUCAAGGUGAUUGCUGAGAGCCUGUCAGUAAUCCUCAAGAGCAUCCUGACAGCUCUUCUCGUGCUGUGGUUGCCUCACUGGGGACUGUAUAUUUUCUCUUUGGCCCAGCUUUUCUUUACUGCAGUGCUGGUGCUCUGCUAUGUUAUUUAUUUCACAAAGUUACUGGGUUCCCCAAAAUCAUCCAAAUGCCAAGUUCUUCCUGUCUCCAGAAUGACAGAUCUCUUACCCAGCAUUACGAGAAGUAGAGCUUUUGUAAAUUGGGAAGAGGCUAAAUUGACUUGGAGUUUUUUCAAACAGUCUUUCUUGAAACAGAUUUUGACAGAAGGAGAGCGAUAUGUGAUGACAUUUUUGAACGUGUUAAAUUUUGGCGAUCAGGGGGUGUAUGAUAUAGUGAAUAAUCUUGGCUCCCUUGUGGCCAGAUUAAUUUUCCAGCCAAUAGAGGAGAGUUUCUACAUAUUCUUUGCUAAGGUGCUGGAGAGAGAAAAGGAUGCCACACUUCAGAAGCAGGAGGAUGUUGCUGUGGCUGCCGCGGUUUUGGAGUCCCUACUGAAACUGGCCCUGCUGACCGGCCUGACCAUCACUGUUUUCGGCUUUGCCUAUUCUCAACUGGCUUUGGACAUCUAUGGAGGGGCCAUGCUUAGCUCAGGAUCAGGUCCUGUUCUGCUGCGUGCCUAUUGUCUCUACGUCCUCCUGCUUGCGAUCAAUGGAGUGACUGAGUGUUUCACUUUUGCUGCCAUGAGCAAAGAGGAGGUCGACAGGUACAACUUCACAAUGCUGGCCCUGUCAUCUUCAUUCCUGGGGUUAUCCUAUCUCCUGACCCAUUGGUGUGGCAGUGUGGGCUUCAUCUUGGCCAACUGCUUCAACAUGGGCAUUCGGAUCACACAGAGCCUCCGCUUCAUCCACCGCUACUACCAAAAGAGCCCCCACAGGCCACUGGCCAGCCUCUACCUGUCACCAGUCCUCCUCGGGGCAUUCGCCCUCAGUGGUGGCAUUACUGCUGUUUCAGAGGUGUUCCUCUGCUGUGAGCAGGGCUGGCCAGCCAGGCUGGCACACAUCACUGUGGGGGCCCUCUGUUUGGGAGCAACUCUCAGGACAGUGUUCCUCACAGAGACCAAGCUGAUUCACUUCCUCAGGACUCAGUUAGCUGUGUCCAGACUCGCUGACAAAACAACAUGACCUCACAGAUGCACUGGCACCUGUGGCACCUGGACCAACUACUAGGUGGUUUUGUGGGUGGAACACGUUUUCUCUGCAGAAGAGCCCAGCUAAGUGUUCUACUGUGGAGUGAGCCCAGCCCAGGCAGGCCAACACACAGCUUCCAAGAGCAGGUACAAGCCAGUUCUUGACCUUUGGCCUGGCCACCUGAAAGAGGGGGACUUUGAAGGACACUGUGAUCCAAUGUGAACCACUUUGCUUCCUGAAAGGAACACUACGUUGCAGUUGGCUGUAACUUCUCAUGUGGAGGUUGCACACAUGACAACUAAAGUUGAAUAGAGGUAUAUUUUUUUCCCUCAGAAUGAAAUAGGAUAGAUUUUUUAUGGCAGCUGUCACUGACUCACAGCCCUCCCACUGACCCAUCACUUCCAGCACUGGUCAUUACACCUGAAUUCCAACCUGGGACAAGACUGGCAGGCUUGUGGGUCUGGUCCUCCAGGUGGUGAUGUGAGCCUAGGCUAAGGUUUACAUCUCUGCCCUGCACCCAGCAGGUAAGAUCAUCAGGCGUUGUUCUGAGGCAGCAAAGCUGUUUGCUUCCUUCAUUAAUGUAUUUACUUAAUGUCAUUAAUGUAUUAGUUAAUUGAAUAUGAUUGGCCUUUGGAGCUGCAUGCACAAACUAUAUCUUGGAUGGUAAUAGUCAUUAUCUGGCCUCAACAUCCCCAAACUUCCUAUGUUUAUACCCAUAGAGCCAGGCAACUUAAAUCAGAGACCGUUGUUUGAAAUGCACAUAUUUAAAUCCACUGGCCCAGAGCCAUUGCCAAGAAGCCAAAGAUAAAGAUCCACCAGCACACCAAGACUAGGAUCCAGUCACCUGGACACCUCUUUAUCUAUCCAAAGAGAGAAUGGUUUGUAUUAGCUCGGAGGAAAGCAGCUAAAUGCAAGGUAUCACUGAGCAAUCAGGCCCUCCAGAAGCACGGCUUGGUCAUGUUUUGCAAAGCAGGGUCAGCCUAGCUCAGAAGAACUGAUUGCCCCAUGGGGUAGGGUGGGUGGCACACACAGAAGGCAGCCCUUCUUCCCAUGUACUUUUUCUCUUUUUUUUUUUGUCUCCAGCCCUCACAAGUUCCUUCUCUACUGCCACUGACCACCCUUCCCUCCCCUAGAACCCUGUCACCCACCCCCUGCCCUCUUGACCCCGAGCUCAAAGUGUGGUCCUUGGACGACCUGCAUCAGAAUCGCCUGGAUUAGUUAGAAAUGUUGGUUUCCCAGACCCAUUCCAGACCCUUGGCAUCUGCAUUUCUGGGGCAGGCCUCUGGGACCAGUUUCUUCUGCAAACCAAGGUUGGCACACCCCGUCGUCCUCACCGGCUGCAGGGCCCAGGGCCAGUCGUGUUCAUGUUCCCAGUUUCUGUUGCGGCUGUGGGAAGAGAGCCUCCAUUGCCUGAGCAGCAUUGCUGGCUCCCCAGCUCCUCAGGAGCAAGAGCAUCACAGCUCCUACUCUGCCCUCCAGCCUGGAGAGGCUCUGUGUCUGAUGGUGAGGGCUCGUGUUCAUCUCAUCCCCAUGCACCCCACUGGGCACUGCUAUUAGCACGGGGCUGCUGCCAGCCCCUCUUGUAAGAUGGCCAGCUGGGAUGGCCGCCUAGGGCUCCAUCCUGUGGCCUGCUUCCCCGUUUAUAGAAAGAGGAGUUCCGAUGACCAGGGCUUUGGGCAGUGGGUGUUUUCCCAUUACUAACACCUGCCUCCUGGGCUCCAGCACUUGGGCAGCGGGCCCUUUGCAGUCCACAGCCUCUGCCUCCGCCCCUGCUCCCUGGGGCACAGCUGGGCCUGACCACUGCCUCUGGGGCUUUCCCCCCACCAGCCCCCUAGAGCCACACCUGUGCCUCGGAUUGCUUGCAUACAUGGGACCUGAUCCAUGUGACCCAAGAAGGAUUUUGCAGGGGAAAUCACACCUUGGGCUACAAUUACCACUUAAAGUAUAGUGAGGCUAGUUCUUCAUGGAAACAAGUCUCUAAAACACAUAGGUUUAUGAAAUGAAGAAAGCUUUGGUGGUGAGAAUAACAGCAUUUCUUCUUUCUGUGAUUCUCUGGCCACACAUAUGUGUUGGUGGCCAGGUUGGCCUGUCAGGUCCCUCCAUGAGAAGAUAUGCUGAAUCACUGCUUCCUCAGCAGUGACUCCUAGCUCUGGUGGUGCGGUAUAUGCUGUCCCAGGCCCUGCCACUUACCAACCUAAUGCAGCAGGACACCGACUUGAUUUUGUCUUUUUAAAAAAUUUUUAAAUUAAAAAAAAAUUUUUUUGGCCGUGCCAUCAGCAUGCAGA